GACGAACGCUGGCGGCGUGCCUAAUACAUGCAAGUAGAACGCUGAAGGAGGAGCUUGCUUCUCUGGAUGAGUUGCGAACGGGUGAGUAACGCGUAGGUAACCUGCCUGGUAGCGGGGGAUAACUAUUGGAAACGAUAGCUAAUACCGCAUAACAGUAGAUGUUGCAUGACAUUUGCUUAAAAGGUGCAAUUGCAUCACUACCAGAUGGACCUGCGUUGUAUUAGCUAGUUGGUGGGGUAACGGCUCACCAAGGCGACGAUACAUAGCCGACCUGAGAGGGUGAUCGGCCACACUGGGACUGAGACACGGCCCAGACUCCUACGGGAGGCAGCAGUAGGGAAUCUUCGGCAAUGGACGGAAGUCUGACCGAGCAACGCCGCGUGAGUGAAGAAGGUUUUCGGAUCGUAAAGCUCUGUUGUAAGAGAAGAACGAGUGUGAGAGUGGAAAGUUCACACUGUGACGGUAUCUACCA
This 472-nucleotide ribosomal RNA is filed under the name Streptococcus mitis. RNAcentral describes it as "bacterial SSU rRNA". It matches the Rfam family "Bacterial small subunit ribosomal RNA", at positions 28 to 485 of the family's 1533-position model. The record is from RNAcentral. Lineage: Bacteria; Bacillati; Bacillota; Bacilli; Lactobacillales; Streptococcaceae.